GAUGAACGCUGGCGGCGUGCCUAAUACAUGCAAGUCGAACGAAGUACUUCGGUACUUAGUGGCGAACGGGUGAGUAAUACGUAAGCAACCUGCCUAUGGGACUGGGAUAACGUUUGGAAACGGACGCUAAUACCGGAUAGGUGGUGGGAAGGCAUCUUUCCACCAUUAAAGUUUAGAUACACCGAUAGAUGGGCUUACGGCGCAUUAGCUAGUUGGUGAGGUAACGGCUCACCAAGGCGAUGAUGCGUAGCCGGACUGAGAGGUUGAACGGCCACAUUGGGACUGAGACACGGCCCAA
This 298-nucleotide ribosomal RNA is filed under the name uncultured bacterium. Its description in RNAcentral is "partial 16S ribosomal RNA". It matches the Rfam family "Bacterial small subunit ribosomal RNA", at positions 28 to 334 of the family's 1533-position model. The record is from RNAcentral.